AAACCUCCGGGAGGCAGCAGUGGGGAAUAUUGCACAAUGGGGGAAACCCUGAUGCAGCGACGCCGCGUGAGUGAAGAAGUAUUUCGGUAUGUAAAGCUCUAUCAGCAGGGAAGAAGAAGGACGGUACCUGAGUAAGAAGCCCCGGCUAACUACGUGCCAGCAGCCGCGGUAAUACGUAGGGGGCAAGCGUUAUCCGGAAUUACUGGGUGUAAAGGGAGCGUAGACGGCAAUGCAAGUCCGGAGUGGAAUG
This 250-nucleotide ribosomal RNA is filed under the name uncultured bacterium. RNAcentral describes it as "partial 16S ribosomal RNA". It matches the Rfam family "Bacterial small subunit ribosomal RNA", at positions 335 to 601 of the family's 1533-position model. The record is from RNAcentral.